GCCGCGUUGGCGUAGCGGUAGCGCGUCUCACUUGUAUACCCUGGAUGGCGUAUAAGAAUUCAUUAUGCCAUGAGAAGGUCACUCGUUCAAUCCGGGUACGCGGCA
This 105-nucleotide transfer RNA is filed under the name Hypsizygus marmoreus. It matches the Rfam family "tRNA". Rfam says of the family: Transfer RNA (tRNA) molecules are approximately 80 nucleotides in length. Lineage: Eukaryota; Fungi; Basidiomycota; Agaricomycetes; Agaricales; Lyophyllaceae. The record is from Rfam by way of RNAcentral.